This 500-nucleotide ribosomal RNA is filed under the name uncultured bacterium. RNAcentral's name for it is "partial 16S ribosomal RNA". It matches the Rfam family "Bacterial small subunit ribosomal RNA", at positions 28 to 523 of the family's 1533-position model. The record is from RNAcentral.
GAUGAACGCUGGCGGCAUGCUUUACACAUGCAAGUCGAACGGUAACAGGGAGCUUGCUCCGCUGACGAGUGGCGAACGGGUGAGUAAUGCGUCGGAACGUGCCGAGUAGUGGGGGAUAACGCAGCGAAAGUUGUGCUAAUACCGCAUACGUACUGAGGUGGAAAGUGGGGGACCUUCGGGCCUCACGCUAUUCGAGCGGCCGACGUCUGAUUAGCUAGUAGGUGAGGUAAAGGCUCACCUAGGCGACGAUCAGUAGCGGGUCUGAGGGGAUGAUCCGCCACACUGGGACUGAGACACGGCCCAGACUCCUACGGGAGGCAGCAGUGGGGAAUUUUGGACAAUGGGCGAAAGCCUGAUCCAGCCAUGCCGCGUGUCUGAAGAAGGCCUUCGGGUUGUAAAGGACUUUUGUCGGGGAGGAAAUCCCCAGCGUUAAUACCGCUGGGGGAUGACAGUACCUGAAGAAUAAGCACCGGCUAACUACGUGCCAGCAGCCGCCGUAA